CCUACGGGCGGCAGCAGUAGGGAAUCUUCCACAAUGGACGAAAGUCUGAUGGAGCAACGCCGCGUGAGUGAAGAAGGGUUUCGGCUCGUAAAGCUCUGUUGGGAGGGAAGAAAGAUAGAGGUAGGAAAUGGCCUUUAUUUGACGGUAAUUACUUAGAAAGUCACGGCUAACUACGUGCCAGCAGCCGCGGUAAUACGUAGGUGGCAAGCGUUGUCCGGAUUUAGUGGGCGUAAAGCGAGUGCAGGCGGUUCAAUAAGUCUGAUGUGAAAGCCCUCGGCUCAACCGGAGAAUUGCAUCAGAAACUGUUGAACUGGAGAGCAGAAGAGGAGAGUGGAACUCCAUGUGUAGCGGUAGAAUGCGUAGAUAUAUGGAAGAACACCAGUGGCGAAGGCGGCUCUCUGGUCUGCAACUGACGCUGAGGCACGAAAGCAUGGGUAGCGAACAGGAUUAGAUACCCUUGUAGUC
Molecule: ribosomal RNA, 465 nt
Filed under: uncultured bacterium
Lineage: Bacteria
Description: partial 16S ribosomal RNA
Rfam family: Bacterial small subunit ribosomal RNA
Source: RNAcentral